CCUACGUGAUGCUGCAGUGAGGAAUAUUGGUCAAUGGGCGCGAGCCUGAACCAGCCAAGUAGCGUGACGGAUGACUGCCCUACGGGUUGUAAACUUCUUUUAUCAAGGAAUAAAGUGAUGCACGUGUGCCUUUUUGUAUGUACUUUAUGCAUAAGGCUCGGCUAACUCCCUGCCCGCAGCCACGGUAAUACGGAGGAUCCGGGCGUUUUCCGGAAUUUUUGGGUUUAAAGGGAGCGUGGAGGGGUUGUUAAGUCAGUUGUGAAAGUUUGCGGCUCAACCGUAAAAGUGCAAUUGAUACUGGCAGUCUUGAGUACAGUUGAGGUAGGCGGAAUUCGUGGUGUAGCGGUGAAAUGCUUAGAUAUCACGAAGAACUCCGAUUGCGAAGGCAGCUUACUAAACUGCAACUGACAUUGAUGCUCGAAAGUGUGGGUAUCAAACAGGAUUAGAUACCCUUGUAGUC
This 460-nucleotide ribosomal RNA is filed under the name uncultured bacterium. RNAcentral's name for it is "partial 16S ribosomal RNA". It matches the Rfam family "Bacterial small subunit ribosomal RNA", at positions 338 to 795 of the family's 1533-position model. The record is from RNAcentral.